GCAGUCGAGCGGGGGGAGGUAGCUUGCUACCUAACCUAGCGGCGGACGGGUGAGUAAUGCUUAGGAAUCUGCCUAUUAGUGGGGGACAACAUUUCGAAAGGGAUGCUAAUACCGCAUACGCCCUAAGGGGGAAAGCAGGGGAUCUUCGGACCUUGCGCUAAUAGAUGAGCCUAAGUCGGAUUAGCUAGUUGGUGGGGUAAAGGCCUACCAAGGCGACGAUCUGUAGCGGGUCUGAGAGGAUGAUCCGCCACACUGGGACUGAGACACGGCCCAGACUCCUACGGGAGGCAGCAGUGGGGAAUAUUGGACAAUGGGGGGAACCCUGAUCCAGCCAUGCCGCGUGUGUGAAGAAGGCCUUUUGGUUGUAAAGCACUUUAAGCGAGGAGGAGGCUACCGAGAUUAAUACUCUUGGAUAGUGGACGUUACUCGCAGAAUAAGCACCGGCUAACUCUGUGCCAGCAGCCGCGGUAAUACAGAGGGUGCGAGCGUUAAUCGGAUUUACUGGGCGUAAAGCGUGCGUAGGCGGCUUUUUAAGUCGGAUGUGAAAUCCCCGAGCUUAACUUGGGAAUUGCAUUCGAUACUGGGAAGCUAGAGUAUGGGAGAGGAUGGUAGAAUUCCAGGUGUAGCGGUGAAAUGCGUAGAGAUCUGGAGGAAUACCGAUGGCGAAGGCAGCCAUCUGGCCUAAUACUGACGCUGAGGUACGAAAGCAUGGGGAGCAAACAGGAUUAGAUACCCUGGUAGUCCAUGCCGUANACGAUGUCUACUAGCCGUUGGGGCCUUUGAGGCUUUAGUGGCGCAGCUAACGCGAUAAGUAGACCGCCUGGGGAGUACGGUCGCAAGACUAAA
Molecule: ribosomal RNA, 846 nt
Filed under: Acinetobacter sp.
Lineage: Bacteria; Pseudomonadati; Pseudomonadota; Gammaproteobacteria; Moraxellales; Moraxellaceae
Description: bacterial SSU rRNA
Rfam family: Bacterial small subunit ribosomal RNA
Source: RNAcentral